Long non-coding RNA from Triticum aestivum (bread wheat), 1852 nucleotides. RefSeq lists it as uncharacterized. The record is from RefSeq and is a predicted model, not a curated record. NCBI's taxonomy places the organism in Eukaryota, Viridiplantae, Streptophyta, Magnoliopsida, Poales, Poaceae. The transcript has 2 exons.
UUCCAUGAACUUAAAUUGCCAUGGUCCAUAUACAACUAACCUUUUUUUCGCUAUUGUUUGCGUAAAGAGAAGGAUUUUAUAUAGUCAAUAAAUAAACUACAUUAAAGCAAAAAUACUCUAGCUAAACCAUCGUAGAUCAUUGGCAUUGGCGUUGCGGCGGGAGCAUGCGCAUCGCGCUACGACGACGAGGCCAACGGCAUAGAUGAGCGUGCAGAGCAGGGCCGCGACGAUGACGAUGACACAACGGGUUGUGUCACCCGGUUGUGCCCCGACACAGAGAGCUCCUCACGUGCGACCACCGAAGGGGAGUGGGGACUCUCGGGAUUGAGUGGAUAAGGCCGCGCCGCGGUGAGGUUCGUUCACGCGAGGGGAAAUGCCGAGUGAAAAAGCCUUGUUGUGGGUGAUGUGUCAAGCGAUCGCGCACCAAGAUUUAUACUCGACAUUCGACGGCUGCUGGGACGUUCGAUCUGGAAAUCUACAAGUCUGAUGUCAAAUUUAUAGUGAUUCAUAAAAGCUUUUUCUGACACUAGUGUAGGAAGGAGGAGUAAAACUUUGCGAUCGAGGGUAAUAAAUAUGGACUUUUAGAUAUAUAAAUGAAAAAAAAAACAGGUCGGGUGCGAGGAAAGAUACAGUAGAUCCGAAGGCGAAGGGGAAGGCGAUAGGAGAUGGAGACGGAGGCGGAGCAGAGACCUCAAGUCGAAGGGAGAAAUAUCGUCUCCAACAAUCCCGAUUCCGAUCCCGAUCCCCACUCCAACUCCAGCCCCAACCCCAACUCCGAUUCUUCUAUAUACUCCAAAGUGAUGUCGCCGAGCCGCGCGCUGGCCGUGCCUCGCCUUCCACCACGGCGCGGGUCGACCCACGGUGACCUUCGAUGUGUCGGAGAAAAAGCCAAUCGCCGGCUACAUCGACGAGCUGGAGAACAAGGAGAUCUGUCCAGCCACGCACGGCUUUAUGCUAGCCAGGUGCCCUGCCUCCAUGUCCACCUUCCUGUGGACUCCCCAGAGCCGCGGCAAGAUCGAGCUGCCGCCGUUGCCGAUCGAGCAGGACCUGUUCAUAGACUGCAUCUGCCUGCUCUCCAACAAGCCCACCGCUUCAAACUGUGUCGUGCUUCUGGUCGAGCCUUACGCCACCUUCAUAUGGUACUGUCACAUCGGAGACGAUCAGUGGCGAAAACACGACUAUGACAUCGGAACCCAGCCGGCCCUCGACCUGCAGUCCGAGGACAAAGAGGUCAUAACUCCGAUUGCGGCAUGUGGGGGCAAGUUUUAUUUCAACAGCACACAAAUCGAGCUUGGUGUUCUUGAUUUCUGCCCUGCUCCCGUAUUCAGUUCCAUCAAGAUCAACGACGUGGUCGAUGAUAUCUACGGUGUUGAACUGGCUCCAGCUCAAGUUUUUCUGGUGGAAUCGGACGGGGAGCUCUAUAUGGUUUCCCUGUUAUGGGCGGAAACAAUUUAUGGUGCAAGAGUUCAUAGGAUGGAUUUUCUCAAAGCAGAGAUGGAGAAAAGUGUAUGAUCUUGGUGAUCGAACGUUCCUAUUGUCCCUGUUCAACUUUGGUGCUCUCUGCUCUGUCGGCAAGUCUGGACUGCGAGAGAACUGCAUCUACAUGGCGUAUCCUUGGGAGCAGACCGUGCACAUUUUCAGUGUAAAAGAUGGUAGUAUGGAGACGCACAAGCUGGAUGAUGCUCCCUCCUCAGAUAAAGCAUUCUGGAUGCUCCCUGCCAAUCAUAUAGAUUAGUUUAGAUUCACAAGAUAUUUUUUCCAUGUCGUUUUUAGUUAUCACCAGACUUGGAUUGUGCAACCUGUUUACGUGUUAUUAUGAUAUAUAUUGACAGAAUCACUUCUUGUAUGUUUC